Molecule: long non-coding RNA, 1544 nt
Filed under: Anas platyrhynchos platyrhynchos (common mallard)
Lineage: Eukaryota; Metazoa; Chordata; Aves; Anseriformes; Anatidae
Description: lncRNA (ENSAPLG00000016904.1)
Source: RNAcentral
ACAGCCCCAGGUCUGCGGGGACGGCAGUGGACGCUCAGACCCCGCACCGCGGGAGGGGGGCGUGGGGGGAUGGGGGGCGCGGGGAGGGCAGGGGGAUACGGGGACAUGGGGACAUGGGGAUGAGGGACAUGAGGACAUUGGGAUAUGGGGACAUUGGGAUGAGGGGCAAGAGAACACUGGGAUAUGGGGACAAGGGACAUGGGGACAUUGGGACAUGGGGACACAGGGACACGGGGGCAUUGGGAUGAGGGGCAUGGACACAAGGGACAGGGGGACAUGGGGACAGGAGAUGUGGGGACAUGGGGAUGAGGGACGUGAGAACAUACGGAUAUGGGGACAAGGGACGUGGGGAUGUGGGACAUGGGGACAUGGGGACACGGGGACACAGGGACACGGGGACAUGGGGACACAGGGACAGGAGAUGUGGGGACAUUGGGAUGAGAACAUAAGAACAUUGGGAUAUGGGGACAAGGGACAUGCGGACACAGACAUGGGGGCAUUGGGAUGACGGGCAUGGACACAAGGGAUGUGGGGACACAGGGACAUGGGGACAUAGGACAUGAGAACAUGGGGACAAGAGGUGUGGGGACAUUGGGAUGAGGGAAAUGGACACAAGGGACAUGGGGACGAGGGACAUGGAGAUAUGGGGACACAGGGAUGAGGGGCAUGAGAACAUUGGGAUGCAGGGACAAGGGACAUGGGGACGUGUGCAUGCAGAGGACAAGAACACAGGGACAGGAUGGGGACACGGGGACAAGAGACACGGAAGCAGGUACGUGCAGGGGAUGGGGACAAGGGACACAAGUGUGCAAGGGACAGGGGGACAAGGGAGUGCGCGUGUGCAUGGGACAGGGACAUGGGGACAUGGGGACAUGGGGACAUGGGGACACGGCAGCUCGUACAUGCAUGGAGGGGACACGGGGACAGGACAGGGACAGGAUGGGGACAUGGGGACAAAGUGUCCCCAUGCAAAGCAUCCCUGUGCAAAGUGUCCCCAUGCGAUUGUCCCCGUGCCACUGUCCCUGUGCAAAGCGUCCCCAUGCAAAGUGUCCCUGUGCUGGCAUCCCUGUGCCACUGUCCCCAUGUAAUUGUCCCUGUCCCCGUGCCACUGUCCCCAUGGCAGUGUCCCCAUGCAACGUGUCCCUGUGUCACUGUCCCCAUGUCAUUGUCCCUGUCCCCAUGCCACCGCCCCCAUGCAAAGUGUCCCCAUGUCACUGUCCUUGUCUAAUUGUCCCCAUGGAAUUGUCCCCGUGCAACACGUCCCCGUGCCACUGUCCCUGUGUAAUUGUCCCUGUCCCUGUGUCCCCGUCCCCAUGCAAAGUGUCCCCAUGUCACUGUCCUUGUCUAAUUGUCCCCAUGGAAUUGUCCCCGUGCAACGUGUCCCCAUGCCACUGUCCCUGUGUCAUUGUCCCCGUCCCGGUGUCCCCGUCCCAGUGUCCCCAUCCCGGUGUCCCCAUCCCGGUGUCCCCGUCCCCGUCCCGGUGUCCCCGUCCCAGUGUCCCCAUCCCGGUGUCCCCGUCCCCGUCCCAGUGUCCCCAUCCCGG